GGGCUCACACAAGCGGUGGAUGAUGUGGCUCAAUUCGAAGCAACGCGAAGAACCUUACCCGGGUUUGACAUGCUAGGAUUAGUUCUGUGAAAGCAGAAUGACACGGCUUGCCGUGGAACUAGCACAGGUGCUGCAUGGCUGUCGUCAGCUCGUGCUGUGAAGUGUCGGGUUAAGUCCCUUAACGAGCGAAACCCUUGUCGCUAGUUGCCAGCGCGUAAUGGCGGGCACUUUAGCGAGACUGCCGGUGUUAAACCGGAGGAAGGCGGGGACGACGUCAAGUCCUCAUGGCCUUUAUGCCCGGGGUUGCACACGUCAUACAAUGGGAUGGUACAAAGCGACGCAAGACCGCGAGGUGGAGCAAAUCGCAGAAAACAUCCCUCAGUUCGGAUUGCAGGCUGCAACUCGCCUGCAUGAAGCUGGAAUCGCUAGUAAUCGCAUAUCAGCAAUGAUGCGGUGAAUGUGUUCCUGAGCCUU
RNAcentral lists this ribosomal RNA (474 nucleotides) under uncultured bacterium. RNAcentral describes it as "bacterial SSU rRNA". It matches the Rfam family "Bacterial small subunit ribosomal RNA", at positions 917 to 1382 of the family's 1533-position model. The record is from RNAcentral.